RNAcentral lists this ribosomal RNA (253 nucleotides) under uncultured bacterium. Its description in RNAcentral is "partial 16S ribosomal RNA". It matches the Rfam family "Bacterial small subunit ribosomal RNA", at positions 524 to 776 of the family's 1533-position model. The record is from RNAcentral.
GACAGAGGAUGCAAGCGUUAUUCGGAAUUAUUGGGCGUAAAGCGUCCGCAGGUGGCUAUUCAAGUCUGCGGUCAAAGACUGGGGCUUAACCCUGGAAAGGCCGUGGAAACUGAAGAGCUAGAGUGCAGUAGGGGUAGAGGGAAUUCCCGGUGUAGCGGUGAAAUGCGUAGAGCUCGGGAAGAACAUCGGUGGCGAAAGCGCUCUGCUGGACUGCAACUGACACUCAGGGACGAAAGCUAGGGGAGCGAAUGGG